RNAcentral lists this ribosomal RNA (315 nucleotides) under Pomatocheles macrops. RNAcentral describes it as "eukaryotic LSU rRNA". It matches the Rfam family "Eukaryotic large subunit ribosomal RNA", at positions 66 to 349 of the family's 3401-position model. Lineage: Eukaryota; Metazoa; Arthropoda; Malacostraca; Decapoda; Pomatochelidae. The record is from RNAcentral.
CAACAGGGAUUCCCUCAGUAAGGGCGACUGAACAGGGAACAGCCCAGCGCAUAACCUCGCUGUCGAUAAAAAGACGCGAGGGGUGUUGCGUUUCAGAGGGUCCAGCACGCUGUCCCAUACCACCUAAGUCAUGUUUGGAAUGCAGCCAAUAUCCAGGGAGGGUGAUAGGCCCGUAUGGUGGCACCCGUGAGGGCAUACAUGGGACGGUCGGAAAGGGCCUCUCUGUAGAGUCGGGUUGCAUGAAACCGCAGCCCAAAGUAGGUGGUAAGCUCCAUCUAAGGCUAAAUAUGACCAUGAGACCGAUAGCGAACAACG